RNAcentral lists this transfer RNA (71 nucleotides) under Candidatus Sungiibacteriota bacterium. RNAcentral describes it as "tRNA-Ala". It matches the Rfam family "tRNA". From Rfam's summary of the family: Transfer RNA (tRNA) molecules are approximately 80 nucleotides in length. Lineage: Bacteria; Candidatus Sungiibacteriota. The record is from RNAcentral.
GGGCCUAUGGUAUAGCGGCAACACAACUCCAUGGCAUGGAGUAGUCCCGGGUCCGAUUCCCGGUAGGUCCA